This 2814-nucleotide ribosomal RNA is filed under the name Paramecium duboscqui. RNAcentral's name for it is "eukaryotic LSU rRNA". The stretch from base 1 to 1731 matches the Rfam family "Eukaryotic small subunit ribosomal RNA". The record is from RNAcentral. Lineage: Eukaryota; Ciliophora; Oligohymenophorea; Peniculida; Parameciidae.
AAGUCAUAUGCUUGUCUUAAAGAUUAAGCCAUGCAUGUCUAAGUAUAAAUAGUAUACAGUGAAACUGCGAAUGGCUCAUUAAAACAGUUAUAGUUUAUUUGAUAGUGUUUUUACAUGGAUAACCGUGGUAAUUCUAGAGCUAAUACAUGCGCAAAUACCCGACUCACGAAGGGUAGCAUUUAUUAGUUUCAACCAUCACUUGGUGAAUCAUAGUAACUUAGCUGACCGCGCGCAAGCGUGGUAAAUCAUUCAAGUUUCUGCCCUAUCAGCUUUCGAUGGUAGUGUAUUGGACUACCAUGGCAGUCACGGGUAACGGAGAAUUAGGGUUCGAUUCCGGAGAGGGAGCCUGAGAAACGGCUACCACAUCUAAGGAAGGCAGCAGGCGCGUAAAUUACCCAAUCCCGAUUCGGGGAGGUAGUGACAAGAAAUAACAACUCGGGUGGUUUUCCACUUCGGGAUUGCAAUGAGACAAAUCUAAAAACCUUUACGAUUAACAAUUGGAGGGCAAGUCUGGUGCCAGCAGCCGCGGUAAUUCCAGCUCCAAUAGCGUAUACUUAAGUUGUUGCAGUUAAAAAGCUCGUAGUUGAAAGUCGAAUUAGUCUCGCUGAUGGCUCCAGUCGUCACGUUGGCUGAUUCUCCGUCUAUGAACUUCUUGCUCCUUAAAAAGAAUAAGAUGUUGAGUAGACACUUUACCUUGAAAAAAUUAGAGUGUUCCAGGCAGGUUUUCGCCGGAAUACAUUAGCAUGGAAUAAUGGAAUAGGACACUGGUCUGUUGUUGGUUUUUGGACCAUUGUAAUGAUUAAUAGGGACAGAUGGGGGCAUUAGUAUUUAAUUGUCAGAGGUGAAAUUCUUGGAUUUAUUAAAGACUAACUUAUGCGAAAGCAUUUGCCAAGGAUGUUUUCAUUAAUCAAGAACGAAAGUUAGGGGAUCAAAGACGAUCAGAUACCGUCGUAGUCUUAACUAUAAACUAUACCGACUCGGGAUCGGAAGGGUUAUUAAUUUGGCCCUUUCGGCACCGUAAGAGAAAUCAAAGUCUUUGGGUUCUGGGGGGAGUAUGGUCGCAAGGCUGAAACUUAAAGGAAUUGACGGAAGGGCACCACCAGGAGUGGAGCCUGCGGCUUAAUUUGACUCAACACGGGGAAACUUACCAGGUCAAAACAUGGAUGGGAUUGACAGAUUGAAAGCUCUUUCUUGAUUCUAUGGGUGGUGGUGCAUGGCCGUUCUUAGUUGGUGGAGUGAUUUGUCUGGUUAAUUCCGAUAACGAACGAGACCUUAACCUGCUAACUAGUCCAUUCCUGAAUAAGGGGUGCGACUUCUUAGAGGGACUAUGUAUGUUAAAUGCAUGGAAGUUUAAGGCAAUAACAGGUCUGUGAUGCCCCUAGAUGUCCUGGGCCGCACGCGCGCUACAAUGACACGUUCAGCGAGCUCAUUACCUGGCCCGAAAGGGUUCGGGAAAUCUUGUUAGGACGUGUCGUGCUGGGGAUAGAUCUUUGUAAUUAUAGAUCUUGAACGAGGAAUUCCUUGUAAGCACAGGUCAUCAGCCUGUGCUGAAUACGUCCCUGCCCUUUGUACACACCGCCCGUCGCUCCUACCGAUUUCGAGUGAUGUGGUGAACCAUCUGGACUGCGAGUAGGCUCGAACUACUUGCGGGAAGUUUUGUAAACCUUAUCACUUAGAGGAAGGAGAAGUCGUAACAAGGUUUCCGUAGGUGAACCUGCGGAAGGAUCAUUAACACAUUACAUGUAUCCGACAACCUUAGAUUAGGCAUAUGUGCUUCUGCCCCAACAGUAGUUGGGCAGGAAAACUUAAAACACCUAUUCUCAUCAAUAAACUAUUUAUUAAACCCAUUUAAAAAUGAGAAAAUUCUCAACGAUGGAUAUCUGGGUUCCCAUAACGAUGAAGAACGCAGCGAACUGCGAUACGCAAUGCGAAUAGCAGAACCGCGAGACAUUAGAUUUUUGAACGCAUCUGGCGCUGGUUUACCAGCAUGUUUGUUUCAGUGUGUGUGGAGAGAAUCUCAUCACCAAAGAGAAUGUGACUGAGGCUUCGGCUUCUUUCAUUAAAUAAGAGAGUGUAUGACCUUUCAUACUCAAAAAUGAAGUAGUCACAAUUUAUUGUGAUCUCAUUUCUGAAGAAGGGCUCAAACAACGCACUCAUACUUAACUCCAAUUUUUGCACCUGAAAUCAAGCAAGAGCACCCGCUGAACUUAAGCAUAUCAGUAAGCGGAGGAAAAGAAACUAACAAGGAUUGCCUUAGUAGUGGCGAAUGAACCGGCAACAGCUCAAAGUGUAAAUCUGUAGCAUACAGCUAUAGAAUUGUAAUCUAAAGGCUUUUUAGGGAAGUCAUGGUUCUAGCAUAAGUUCCUUGAAAAGGGAUGUCAUAGAGGGUAAAAGCCCCGUACUUGGCUAGGACCGGACGUACCGAAGGGCUCCAAGAGUCGGGUUGUUUGGGAUUGCAGCCCUAAUUGGGAGAUAAACUUCUUCUAAAGCUAAAUAUUUAUGGGAAACCGAUAGCAAACAAGUACUACGAAGGAAAGAUGAAAAGAACUUUGAAAAGAGGGUUAAAAGACUUGAAAUCGUUGAGAAGAAAAGCGGUAGAAGAGAAAUGAUUUUGCUGAGCAGUAUGUGGCUUUGCGUUGCUUUCUGRGGGAACAGUACUUCAUAGGGCUUACCCUUAGACCAGUURGCGCAUUGUUGCUUUUGCUCAGUGAAGUGCAAAAUGAGGUCUCGUUCUUGGAAACGUGCGCAUGAAGACUCUGCCCUUGAUGGUGGAAGCAUGCGUAACUCACUUGAACUUGGCCUGAGGGCUCCUUC